RNAcentral lists this ribosomal RNA (858 nucleotides) under Shigella flexneri. RNAcentral's name for it is "partial 23S ribosomal RNA". It matches the Rfam family "Bacterial large subunit ribosomal RNA", at positions 2085 to 2925 of the family's 2925-position model. Lineage: Bacteria; Pseudomonadati; Pseudomonadota; Gammaproteobacteria; Enterobacterales; Enterobacteriaceae. The record is from RNAcentral.
AAGACCCCGUGAACCUUUACUAUAGCUUGACACUGAACAUUGAGCCUUGAUGUGUAGGAUAGGUGGGAGGCUUUGAAGUGUGGACGCCAGUCUGCAUGGAGCCGACCUUGAAAUACCACCCUUUAAUGUUUGAUGUUCUAACGUGGACCCGUGAUCCGGGUUGCGGACAGUGUCUGGUGGGUAGUUUGACUGGGGCGGUCUCCUCCUAAAGAGUAACGGAGGAGCACGAAGGUUGGCUAAUCCUGGUCGGACAUCAGGAGGUUAGUGCAAUGGCAUAAGCCAGCUUGACUGCGAGCGUGACGGCGCGAGCAGGUGCGAAAGCAGGUCAUAGUGAUCCGGUGGUUCUGAAUGGAAGGGCCAUCGCUCAACGGAUAAAAGGUACUCCGGGGAUAACAGGCUGAUACCGCCCAAGAGUUCAUAUCGACGGCGGUGUUUGGCACCUCGAUGUCGGCUCAUCACAUCCUGGGGCUGAAGUAGGUCCCAAGGGUAUGGCUGUUCGCCAUUUAAAGUGGUACGCGAGCUGGGUUUAGAACGUCGUGAGACAGUUCGGUCCCUAUCUGCCGUGGGCGCUGGAGAACUGAGGGGGGCUGCUCCUAGUACGAGAGGACCGGAGUGGACGCAUCACUGGUGUUCGGGUUGUCAUGCCAAUGGCACUGCCCGGUAGCUAAAUGCGGAAGAGAUAAGUGCUGAAAGCAUCUAAGCACGAAACUUGCCCCGAGAUGAGUUCUCCCUGACCCUUUAAGGGUCCUGAAGGAACGUUGAAGACGACGACGUUGAUAGGCCGGGUGUGUAAGCGCAGCGAUGCGUUGAGCUAACCGGUACUAAUGAACCGUGAGGCUUAACCUUACAACGCCGAAG